CAGACUAAGACGAAUACUAACUGAGGACCCACCAGACUUGGAGAAAUAAACCCCUUUUGACUGAGCCAACUGAGGCUGCUCUUGAAAUCAAAAUCUAUCAUAAAGUAAGAGUGAAGCUGCAGCGUGGGUCUACCUAAAACUCAAUUCAAGACAGUGAUGAAUAAACUCAAAGGAAAGGAAAAUCAUUUGGCAACCGGAAGGUGUGGGAGGAUAGCUGUAAAUGAAACUGACGGCAAAAAACAGAGCAGAGAAGUUUAAAGAAAAAAAAUAACAGCAUUCCUGGUGAUGCCCCAUUGGGCCAAUGAAACAAACACAUUCUGAAGCCUUUCCUAACCAGGAGCCAACCAAUCUCAUCACUGUGAAGCCAGAAAACCCUAUCUAUUGAAGAUGACUGCUUUCUUCUACUGUAGCUGGCAAUUUUAUGAAAUGAAGAAAAUUUGCUCUAGUUGCAAGUGACACACACCUCUUAAAUGUCUGCUAUCAAUUAAAAGUAAAAUACUGGUUACUUGCAACUAUCAAUUAGAUACAAUGCACUCCAGGAGAUCAGGAGCCUUGGCAUUCAGACAUAGGAGCAUUUUUUUGGCUUUGCCAUUUACUUGCAAUGUGACCUUGAUGAGAGAGAAGUUGAUGCUCAGCGAGGUGAAGUAAUUUGCCCAGGGUUAAGAUUCAAAUGCAAGUCUGGGGACCCUGAAGUCUGCUUCUUUUCACUGUGCUGCGUAGUGGCCUUAGCCUUUCCUUUCUAACAGAGAAGCCAAGACAGCAUACCUGUGUCUGAGUGCCCCAGUGGUGUGCACAUCUAUUACCUCAGGAAGAAAGAAUGUCUGAGGAGACGAAAUUUGCAAACAGUUACAAAGGACUGCACACACAAAUAUGAAUAAAGCCUCUUGAACACCAGAGUAAAGGAAUGUAGGUCAAAUAAUUGCCCUGUUCAGUGUCUCCCUCUCCCUCUUCAUUACCCAACUCCUCUCAUUUGCAUACAUGAGGCCCCAAGUGGAAGAUAACUUGGUGGAAAAUUCCAGGAGCUUUGCAACUAUCAUUAAAAGCAAAAGUUCAAGAAAUAAGGAAAGAAUUUUAAAUUCACUUUGUUUUAACUCAUGAUUAUUCUAAUUUAAAAGCUCAGAUUUAGUAAUGUGUUCAGAGCCAACUAGGCAUAGAAAACUGUAGCAAGCCUCUGGAAAAAUAAGCCUUGUUUGGCUGUUUUUUUUGGUUGUUGUUGUUGUUGUUUUGUUUUUGUUUUUUGAGACAGAGUCUCACUCUGUUGCCUAGUCUGGAGUGCAAUGGCAUGAUAUCG
This 1291-nucleotide long non-coding RNA is filed under the name Homo sapiens (human). RNAcentral describes it as "HSALNT0063082". Lineage: Eukaryota; Metazoa; Chordata; Mammalia; Primates; Hominidae. The record is from RNAcentral.